This 446-nucleotide ribosomal RNA is filed under the name Nesticus kyongkeomsanensis. Its description in RNAcentral is "partial 16S ribosomal RNA". It matches the Rfam family "Bacterial large subunit ribosomal RNA", at positions 1890 to 2624 of the family's 2925-position model. Lineage: Eukaryota; Metazoa; Arthropoda; Arachnida; Araneae; Nesticidae. The record is from RNAcentral.
UNUUUGAUAAACCUGCUCAUGAUAUAAAUAGCCGCAGAAAAUUUACUGUGCUAAGGUAGCAUAAUCACUUGUCUUUUAAUUAAAGACUAGAAUGAACGGCCUAACAAUUAAAAACUUUUUUUUAAUUAUUAAUUUAACUUGUAAUAAGCAUAAAAAUAUGCUUAUACAUAUAAUAGACGACAAGACCCCAUCGAACUUAACUGAAGUUAAGCUGGGGAAGCUUAUUAAUAAUUAUUUUAAUAAUAAUUUUAAAAUAAAUACCCAAUAAAACUGAAUCAAUCAAGUUACCGUGGGGAUAACAGCGUAAUUUAUCUUUAAAGCUCUCAUUAAAAGAAAAGAUUACGACCUCGAUGUUGAAUUAAUUUUACUUACUAACGCAAGCGUUAAAACAAGUUAAGUCUGUUCGACUUUUCAAAAAUUACAUGAUCUGAGUCAAAACCCGGAGA